Molecule: long non-coding RNA, 674 nt
Filed under: Nicotiana benthamiana
Lineage: Eukaryota; Viridiplantae; Streptophyta; Magnoliopsida; Solanales; Solanaceae
Description: long non-coding RNA (NBEN_LNC032154)
Source: RNAcentral
CUAUGGAAAAUACUCCUACAUAUAUUUGACCUACUUACUAUUUAGAGAGUGAAUUCUUCUCAUAGAAGAAGCCUUAUAGAUGGGCUAACAAAUCUUCCUAACAGGCAGUAGCGUCCAGCUCUUAAACUUUGAUUCACUCUAAUGGCUUGUAUCAGGUUCUGUCCAUGCAUCAGAUUCUGCAUUUUCAUUUUCACAUGGUGAUGAGCGAAUGAUUUUUGCUUGAAACAUUCCUCUGCUCGUUCUGCUAACAAUGCUUAGUUCAUUUUCUUGACUGUAGGGCGAGUUGGCCAAGCACUCAAGGGAAUACUAAUCCAUUCGGCAGUGAUUUUUGGCUCUCAACAAUGGUGCUUCGUACAGUUUCCUAGUUAUGUGUAGGCUAGGAGUUUGUGUUGUCAAAUCUUCGUCUUUAUGUAUGUUGGACUAACUACUACAAUUUGUCUUGGGCGGUUAGCCCAGGCUUCUUGCAAUGUUGACAAGCUGUACUUUGAAGGUCUGCUUUAUGCCUCAAAAGUUUUAGGUUUAAAAACGCUUGUGCAUGUUGGUAAAUCUUAUAGGUGAUCAGCUAAGUUGAUAUCGGCACAUUUGGCAAACUUUUUGUAUCUAUAUAUGAUUUUAGUUUGGUUUUUAAUUAUUUUAACAGCUGUUAACUUUAAAGAAGUUUCAAUUCUCUACAA